AUACCUUUCUCAGCCUUUUGGCUAAGAUCAAGUAUAGUAUCUGUUCGUAUCGGUUUAAUAUCUGAUACGUGAGACAUUGUCCCACGGAUAUUAAAUUAAUAUAUAUUUUGUGGGGAGGGACUAAUACAAUGGCUUGCCAUUGAGACCCUCAUGUGUUGCUCUAGCGUUGCACUACUGCUUGAGCCGGCACACCCCAA
Molecule: small nuclear RNA, 197 nt
Filed under: Leersia perrieri
Lineage: Eukaryota; Viridiplantae; Streptophyta; Magnoliopsida; Poales; Poaceae
Description: snRNA U2
Rfam family: U2 spliceosomal RNA
About the family: U2 is a small nuclear RNA (snRNA) component of the spliceosome (involved in pre-mRNA splicing). Complementary binding between U2 snRNA (in an area lying towards the 5' end but 3' to hairpin I) and the branchpoint sequence (BPS) of the intron results the bulging out of an unpaired adenosine, on the BPS, which initiates a nucleophilic attack at the intronic 5' splice site, thus starting the first of two transesterification reactions that mediate splicing.
Source: Rfam by way of RNAcentral